This 500-nucleotide ribosomal RNA is filed under the name uncultured bacterium. Its description in RNAcentral is "partial 16S ribosomal RNA". It matches the Rfam family "Bacterial small subunit ribosomal RNA", at positions 30 to 523 of the family's 1533-position model. The record is from RNAcentral.
AUUGAACGCUGGCGGAAUGCUUUACACAUGCAAGUCGAACGGCAGCACGGACUUCGGUCUGGUGGCGAGUGGCGAACGGGUGAGUAAUAUAUCGGAACGUGCCCAGUCGUGGGGGAUAACGUAGCGAAAGCUACGCUAAUACCGCAUACGAUCUACGGAUGAAAGCGGGGGAUCGCAAGACCUUGCGCGAGUGGAGCGGCCGAUAUCAGAUUAGGUAGUUGGUGAGGUAAAGGCUCACCAAGCCGACGAUCUGUAGCUGGUCUGAGAGGACGACCAGCCACACUGGGACUGAGACACGGCCCAGACUCCUACGGGAGGCAGCAGUGGGGAAUUUUGGACAAUGGACGCAAGUCUGAUCCAGCCAUUCCGCGUGCAGGACGAAGGCCUUCGGGUUGUAAACUGCUUUUGUACAGAGCGAAAAGGUCUCUAUUAAUACUAGGGGCUCAUGAUGGUACUGUAAGAAUAAGCACCGGCUAACUACGUGCCAGCCGCCGCGGUAA